Molecule: non-coding RNA, 45 nt
Organism: Myotis davidii
Lineage: Eukaryota; Metazoa; Chordata; Mammalia; Chiroptera; Vespertilionidae
Source: Rfam
AAAUAGGUUUUAUUUGAAACCACCAUGUUAUUUGGAAUAUAAUUU